Non-coding RNA from Pelobates cultripes (western spadefoot toad), 210 nucleotides. NCBI's taxonomy places the organism in Eukaryota, Metazoa, Chordata, Amphibia, Anura, Pelobatidae. The record is from the annotation of a GenBank genome assembly.
GUGGCAAUCCUACCUGAAUGUUGUAGGAGAUUUGCUGGGCAUUUCCAUCAUUCAUAGCAUAAAGGUUAGCCCACUCUUGAGGCAGUAGCAAGAGAAGGUAAAUCUUCCCACACACUAUGGCAGAUGUCAGUACACUUUAGAGAUGCUGGAAAGGAUUUCGGAGAAGCAGAGGGCAAUUUAUAGACUGGUGUUGGAGCAGUACACUGGUAU